RNAcentral lists this ribosomal RNA (505 nucleotides) under uncultured bacterium. Its description in RNAcentral is "partial 16S ribosomal RNA". It matches the Rfam family "Bacterial small subunit ribosomal RNA", at positions 29 to 523 of the family's 1533-position model. The record is from RNAcentral.
AGUGAACGCUGGCGGUAGGCCUAACACAUGCAAGUCGAACGGCAGCACAGGAGAGCUUGCUCUCUGGGUGGCGAGUGGCGGACGGGUGAGGAAUACAUCGGAAUCUACUUUUUCGUGGGGGAUAACGUAGGGAAACUUACGCUAAUACCGCAUACGACCUACGGGUGAAAGCAGGGGAUCUUCGGACCUUGCGCGAUUGAAUGAGCCGAUGUCGGAUUAGCUAGUUGGCGGGGUAAAGGCCUACCAAGGCGACGAUCCGUAGCUGGUCUGCGAGGAUGAUCAGCAAGACUGGAACUGAGACACGUUGCAGACUCGUACGGGAGGCAGCAGUGGGGAAUAUUGGACAAUGGGCGCAAGCCUGAUCCAGCCAUACCUCGUGGGUGAAGAAGGCCUUCGGGUUGUAAAGCCCUUUUGUUGAAAAGAAAUCCAGCUGGUUAAUACCCGGUUGGGAUGACGGUACCCAAAGAAUAAGCACCGGCUAACUUCGUGCCAGCCGCCGCCGUAA